This 408-nucleotide ribosomal RNA is filed under the name uncultured bacterium. RNAcentral describes it as "bacterial SSU rRNA". It matches the Rfam family "Bacterial small subunit ribosomal RNA", at positions 29 to 476 of the family's 1533-position model. The record is from RNAcentral.
AACGAACGCUGGCGGCAUGCCUAACACAUGCAAGUCGAACGAGACCUUCGGGUCUAGUGGCGCACGGGUGCGUAACGCGUGGGAAUCUGCCCUUUGCUUCGGAAUAACAGUUAGAAAUGACUGCUAAUACCGGAUGAUGUCUUCGGACCAAAGAUUUAUCGGCAAAGGAUGAGCCCGCGUAGGAUUAGGUAGUUGGUGGGGUAAAGGCCUACCAAGCCGACGAUCCUUAGCUGGUCUGAGAGGAUGAUCAGCCACACUGGGACUGAGACACGGCCCAGACUCCUACGUGAGGCAGCAGUGGGGAAUAUUGGACAAUGGGCGCAAGCCUGAUCCAGCAAUGCCGCGUGAGUGAUGAAGGCCUUCGGGUCGGUCGAAAGACUCUUUUACCUAGGGAGUGAUAAUGACAGU